CCCAAAACAUUGCUCAGGUUUAAAGAAUAGCCCUUGAGAUCAACUUUGCCCAAAGCUGUAAAAUGGAUCAGUGCAUGCCAUUUUCUCAGGUGGAGUUUCCCUCUGUCACCCAGGCUGGAGUGCAGUGGUGUGAUGUUGGCUCACUGCAACCUCCACCCCCCGGGUUUCAAGCAAUUCUCCUGCCUCAGCCUCCUGAGUAGCUGGGAUUAUAGGCGCCCGCCACCAUGCCUGGCUAAUUUUUGUAUUUUUAGUAGAGAUGGGGUUUCACUAUGUUGGCCAGGCUGGUCUCGAACUGCUGAUCUCAGGUGAUCGCCCGCCUCAGCCUCCCAAAGUGCUAGGAUUAUAGGCGUGAGCCACCACGCCUAGCCUACCCUAAUAUACUUUCUAUGAGAGUUGUACUUUGAAUUUUUCCGCUUUACUAAAGUACUUCUGAUCUGACCACCAUACUUUUAGGGCUUGAAGCUUUGUUUCCAGAGCCAAAAAUAUGUGCCCAGUAAAAAUCCAAGCCCUGAGCCAUCAGGAAUUGACAGACGCCCUCAGAUUAAAAACAAACUCUAGAUGGAGCUUGCUGCUGUUGAAUCACUCUUCAUUCUUUGGCCUCCAAUUCUUUCUAUUACUAGAGCUCAGGCUUAUUUAUUUAAAGCUUGUCAUAUUUUAUCUAGCAUUUCAGGUGUUCCACACCAUGAGGGAUUUCUCUGUAUAUUUAAUCUGGCAAA
This 716-nucleotide long non-coding RNA is filed under the name Homo sapiens (human). RNAcentral describes it as "HSALNT0062434". The record is from RNAcentral. Lineage: Eukaryota; Metazoa; Chordata; Mammalia; Primates; Hominidae.